This 322-nucleotide RNase P RNA is filed under the name Helicobacteraceae bacterium. Its description in RNAcentral is "RNase P RNA component class A". It matches the Rfam family "Bacterial RNase P class A". From Rfam's summary of the family: Ribonuclease P (RNase P) is a ubiquitous endoribonuclease, found in archaea, bacteria and eukarya as well as chloroplasts and mitochondria. The record is from RNAcentral. Lineage: Bacteria; Pseudomonadati; Campylobacterota; Epsilonproteobacteria; Campylobacterales; Helicobacteraceae.
GCGGCGCGGCGGGCAGCGGCGCGCUUACGGCGCGAGGAAAGUCCGGGCUACAGUUCAGGCACGGUUCCGCCUAACGGACGGCUAGGGCAACCUAAGGGAAAGUGCAACAGAGAGUAAACCGCCUUAGGGCAAGGGUGAAACGGUGGUGUAAGAGACCACCAGCGCUUUAGGUAACUUCAGCGGCUGGUAAACCCAACCGGUAGCAAGGAGCGUCUGGUUAAAGCCUGAUCAAUUUGAGCGCUCCGCUGUAUCUCUCUGGCAACAGGGAGAAUAGAGAAAUCGCUGUCCGCGACAGAACCCGGCUUACAGCCGCGCCGCGAUU